RNAcentral lists this ribosomal RNA (448 nucleotides) under uncultured organism. RNAcentral describes it as "partial 16S ribosomal RNA". It matches the Rfam family "Bacterial small subunit ribosomal RNA", at positions 335 to 799 of the family's 1533-position model. The record is from RNAcentral.
ACUCCUACGGGAGGCAGCAGUGGGGAAUAUUGGACAAUGGGCGCAAGCCUGAUCCAGCCAUGCCGCGUGAGUGAUGAAGGCCCUAGGGUUGUAAAGCUCUUUUGUGCGGGAAGAUAAUGACGGUACCGCAAGAAUAAGCCCCGGCUAACUUCGUGCCAGCAGCCGCGGUAAUACGAAGGGGGCUAGCGUUGCUCGGAAUCACUGGGCGUAAAGGGUGCGUAGGCGGGUCUUUAAGUCAGGGGUGAAAUCCUGGAGCUCAACUCCAGAACUGCCUUUGAUACUGAAGAUCUUGAGUUCGGGAGAGGUGAGUGGAACUGCGAGUGUAGAGGUGAAAUUCGUAGAUAUUCGCAAGAACACCAGUGGCGAAGGCGGCUCACUGGCCCGAUACUGACGCUGAGGCACGAAAGCGUGGGGAGCAAACAGGAUUAGAAACCCGGGUAGUCCCAUG